UUGUGUCACUGACUUGUGUGUGUGUGAAAGAAGACAAUGGCAGAUAUUCAGACAACGGGGAUAUUUGCAGUGCAUUUUUGUGACAGCGGACAGGAGACAGUUUUAGGAUCUGUCUGACUGCCGAUUCUCAGUCAUGCGGUUUCCCGUCAUCCGCUUUCGUAAGACUGCUGAUGGUCACUCAGUCAUCAUGAUCACUUCAGCGGCUCCACCUGCUUCUAUGAAGAGCAGGGCGACGUCGCUGAACACGCAUGUACACGGGCGCACGCACGCCUCGAGAUAAUAAAGCUGAAUUGGUCUCUUGAACUUUUUCCUCUUUCCAGUGACAGUAGACGGCUUAAAAAGCAUUAGUUUUUUUGGCUCUUGCCCAGUGAUGAAGUGGAACAUUCCCUUUUGGAGAUCUUCCUCCGUCUGGUUUCAGUGCGCCAGUCAAUAGGGUUCUGAAUUGGUUUCAGUACAUCAGUCAAUAGGAUUCUGAACUGCGAUGCAAACCAAUUCAGCACCACCAAAGUUGUCUUUUUGAAAUAACCAGUACUUGCUUUAUUGUGAUUGUGUGACACUUAGAGAUUCUUUCAAGGGGAGGAAUUGAAAUAUAGUCAGUAUUUUAGGAGUGUAAGUAGGGACUGCAUCCUGACCAAUAAAGGAAAAUUUAUCUUAUCUAAUCUUCCAAUUCAGGCAUUGUGCCCAGUGUAUAAACACAUUACACAUAAUCCAGCAUUCAGAAAAAAGCCGGUCUCUUGGCUCUUUUAACUUAAAUCGCAGUUAUAUUUGUUUCCAGUGCUUUUAGAAGCCUAAAGCGGAGUUUGGGGGAGUUCAUUGUUGCCUUGUUGGCUUAUCAAGGCCAGGCAAUGAUUUCUGUGUUACUUCCCAGGCGAGAAAGGGGACCAUUUGGGGAAGACUUCAAAAUGAACUUGUACAUGGUAAAACGCUUUCGCCGGAUGGCCAUAGCGCCUGUGGGGUAUCUAGAUGUGACUGUUUGAUCUACUGCAGGACUGAGUUGUGGGAUCAAGUUUAUGACGUGAAAAAGGAAUGUGACAAACUGACUUUUUGACAAAGAUUAAUGUCAUAUUUUCCCAUUGUAAGGAGCUGUGAACUAAA
Molecule: long non-coding RNA, 1095 nt
Organism: Brienomyrus brachyistius
Lineage: Eukaryota; Metazoa; Chordata; Actinopteri; Osteoglossiformes; Mormyridae
Exons: 3
Source: RefSeq, a predicted model, not a curated record